Molecule: ribosomal RNA, 484 nt
Filed under: uncultured bacterium
Lineage: Bacteria
Description: partial 16S ribosomal RNA
Rfam family: Bacterial small subunit ribosomal RNA
Source: RNAcentral
AUUGAACGCUGGCGGCAGGCCUAACACAUGCAAGUCGGGCGGAUGAAGGGAGCUUGCUCCUGGAUUCAGCGGCGGACGGGUGAGUAAUGCCUAGGAAUCUGCCUGGUCGUGGGGGAUAACGUCCGGACACGGGCGCUAAUACCGCAUACGUCCUGAGGGAGAAAGUGGGGGAUCUUCGGACCUCACGCUAUCAGAUGAGCCUAGGUCGGAUUAGCUAGUUGGUGGGGUAAAGGCCUACCAAGGCGACGAUCCGUAACUGGUCUGAGAGGGUGAUCAGUCACACUGGAACUGAGACACGGUCCAGACUCCUACGGGAGGCAGCAGUGGGGAAUAUUCGACAAUGGGCGAAAGCCUGAUCCAGCCAUGCCGCGUGUGUGAAGAAGGUCUUCGGAUUGUAAAGCACUUUAAGUUGGGAGGAAGGGCAGUAAGUUAAUACCUUGCUGUUUUGACGUUACCAACAGAAUAAGCACCGGCUAACUUCGUG